Molecule: long non-coding RNA, 1219 nt
Organism: Helicoverpa armigera (cotton bollworm)
Lineage: Eukaryota; Metazoa; Arthropoda; Insecta; Lepidoptera; Noctuidae
Exons: 2
Source: RefSeq, a predicted model, not a curated record
AAUAAUAAUAAUAAUAGCCCCGCAGGGCAUCUGAGGCGGAUGACGGGGAGUAGCGACCCCGCGGGGCUAUAUAUCCGAGUGCUCCAGGGAGAGUAUACUGUCCCCCAUCUCCGGCUUGCCGGAGUGAAGCAUGACGGGGGAUAGGUCUCCCGCCUCUUGGCUUGCCUUCACCGGCCGGUCAGAGUGGAGUCGCUAGAGCAAUGCUCGGAGGGUAGGUGCCUCGUGGUAAGUGGCGAGUGGGCCGGUGAUGCUGGACCCACAGGGAGCGCGUGAUCUGCGUUUAAAGUCCGCCGAGGUAUCCUCACCCUUCUCAGCCGCUCAUGUACCUGUUGCCCUCUUGUUGCUUUUCAGUGACUGAUUCCCGGGGGCCCAGUAAGUGAGUUGGCGAGUCUCCACCUGCCAUUUUUACGUGUAUUUAUUACAUUGUUAUCGGCAGGUGCCAUAGUUCCCGUAGUUUCCCCAUUCCUAGUCCAUUAGCAUCCCAUCACAAUAGCCCAAGUAGUUUUCAUCCAUAGUUAGCAAUAGUUUAGCACAGAACCGGGGAUUGUCCUUGGGUACAUUUCUAUAGUGUAUACAGGGAUAAUCGUCGGUUUUGUGUCACCAUUUCAUUAAAGUUGUCUCAAAAGGGCUUCAGCGUGUUGGCUUCGGCCCCACGUUCGCCUCCCAAAAAUCCGGGACUCUAUAGUCCCGAGGUCUGGUAGAUAAUAAUAAGUAAGUGGUAAGUGGCGAGUGGGCCGGUGAUGCUGGACCCACAGGGAGCGCGUGAUCUGCGUUUAAAGUCCGCCGAGGUAUCCUCACCCUUCUCAGCCGCUCAUGUCCCUGUUGCCCUCUUGUUGCUUUUCAGUGACUGAUUCCCGGGGGCCCAGUAAGUGAGUUGGCGAGUCUCCACCUGCCAUUUUUACGUGUAUUUAUUACAUUGUUAUCGGCAGGUGCCAUAGUUCCCGUAGUUUCCCCAUUCCUAGUCCAUUAGCAUCCCAUCACAAUAGCCCAAGUAGUUUUCAUCCAUAGUUAGCAAUAGUUUAGCACAGAACCGGGGAUUGUCCUUGGGUACAUUUCUAUAGUGUAUACAGGGAUAAUCGUCGGUUUUGUGUCACCAUUUCAUUAAAGUUGUCUCAAAAGGGCUUCAGCGUGUUGGCUUCGGCCCCACGUUCGCCUCCCAAAAAUCCGGGACUCUAUAGUCCCGAGGUCUGGUAGAGACAUACAAGAUAAUAAUAAUAAU